This 339-nucleotide unclassified non-coding RNA is filed under the name soil metagenome. Its description in RNAcentral is "partial contains 5.8S ribosomal RNA, internal transcribed spacer 2, and large subunit ribosomal RNA". The stretch from base 1 to 120 matches the Rfam family "5.8S ribosomal RNA", at positions 35 to 154 of the family's 154-position model. The record is from RNAcentral.
GAUGAAGAACGCAGCGAAAUGCGAUAAGUAGUGUGAAUUGCAGAAUUCAGUGAAUCAUCGUAUCUUUGAACGCACAUUGCGCCCCUCGGUAUUCCGUGGGGCAUGCCUGUUCGAGCGUCAUUUAACCCCUCAAGCCUAGCUUGGUAUUGGGUGCUUGUCCCGCCUCUCGCGCGGCGACUCACCUCAAAGUCAUUGGCAGCCCGCAUCUCGCCGGCCGUGAGCGCAGCACAGACGCGCUCUUGGCAACGACGGAUCGGCUCUCCAAAAGCUUAUUUCAACCACUGACCUCGGAUCAGGUAGGGAUACCCGCUGAACUUAAGCAUAUCAAUAAGCGGAGGA